UUCAACUUUUCUUCCCCCCCCCAGAAAUCAGAUUGCCAUCACAGAAUUGCCUGAGAUAAAGACAGAAGUCACUGGCUCUUUUGGAUAAGUAACUACCAUUGCUGUUCUAGGAGUGACAGUUACCCGUGGGCUGUGUGAGCGAAAUAUUAAACCAUACUCUGGUUUCUCUUCAGAUCGUAUAAAUCUUUCGCCUUUUACUAAAGAUUUCCGUGGAGAGGAACAAUUCUGAGUGUUUACCCAAUUUUUUGAGGCCUUGCGCUUGCAGGGCUUAUCAAGAUACCUGAAUACAGAUCACAGUGG
Callorhinus ursinus (northern fur seal) is the source of this 300-nucleotide non-coding RNA. NCBI's taxonomy places the organism in Eukaryota, Metazoa, Chordata, Mammalia, Carnivora, Otariidae. The record is from RefSeq and is a predicted model, not a curated record.